UUAUGGCAAAUGUGUUGAUACCUGUUUCAUCAAUCUUAAUUAAUCCUGACUUAGAUAAUAAUUGAAAUAUUUUAAUAAAUUUUAUUACAUUUGUGAUAUAAUCGGGUGGAUGACGGUGGGAUCGAGAAUUAUAAUACAUACAUACCUAGUUAAUUUUGUUGAUUUCAUGAUUUCAUAAUAUUUUUCCAGGCGUAUUUGGUAUCUUUCUCAUGUUUAUGCUGGGGGGAAGGUAUAUGCAAUAAAAAAUAAUUUAAUCAUAUUCGCAUUUUUAGGCACGAGCUAAUAAAACAUAACACAAUAUGUAAAUAUGUUUAUCUCGGUUCAACCACUUGAUCGAUGUGAUAUACUUAUCAAUAUGCAAAACGUCCUUUGUUAAAAUUGACGUUGAGUUAGUAAACAACAGUACUACGAUUUAUGUAGAGAACCCAGCUACAGCGAAUUGACAAGUGAAUUAUUUGCAACAAACAGAAUACAAUGGCCUUCAAGUGGGUUGCUGACCAGUUCAAUACGCACUUUGGCAGUAAUACGACCCACAUCGCGAACAGUACCAGUGGACCAAUCCACGUCUCCAAAAGUUCAACGAUGAUGACCUUCAAGGUCGGAUGCGCUGGAUUAUUUUUCCGUCGUGGAUUCCACAGGGAAGAAAAUUGUGGAUAAUUAUCCCGUCAGAGCAAACGAUUCGUACGUCGUUACAAAAGAGAAGGGCUUUGUGCCGCAAAAAUACGGAUCUGGAAAUUUGCAUGAAAGAAGGUGAAUACCGUAAAAACUCAAAUAGUAGCCGGGGGCUACUAUAUAAAAAAUCGGUGGCUGGGACCUGGCUACUAUUUGAGCAAGGCUACUAUUUGGGCAAGGUCACUAUUUAUAAAAUUAUGAAGCUGGACACGGCUACUACUAGAAAGCAGCUAUUAUAAUUUUAUUUCCAGAAUCAAACUCAAAUUAAAUUUUAAUAACAGCACCAAAUUCUCCCUUAGAUUCGUAUUAGAUGACAAUUCUAUAGGUUAGGCCUGCUCUUAAUUUUAAUAAUUUAUCCCAUGAGCCGAAUUUCGUGUUCAAUUCGAUGUUGUAUAACUGAGAUUAAAUUGAAUUGCGAUUUAAUUACUUAAAUGAGCUGGCUAGGAGAUGUCUGGUUGGAUCUAUGUACAUUGGAAAUUGACGAACGUCUAUAAUUCAAAUAAGGCUACUAUUUGGGCACGGCUACAGUUUGAGCAGGGCUACUAUUUGAGCAAGGUCACUAUUUAUAAAAUUAUGAAAACAGGCGGGGCUACUAUUUGAGCAAGGGCUACUAUUUGAGUUUUUACGGUAAUCGAAUAAAAUGCAAGUAAAUUAUGAGAAAUAUUCAAACACAAUAUUUUUGCUAUACAGCGUCAGCUUAUCUUUUACCUGUCUAAUUGCGAAAAUUUGUUCGUCUGGUAAUACAUAAAUCAAGAUCAAUAAUAAGUAUGGUUAUCCACAAAGUUGCUGAUAAAGCUGUAUGCAUCCGUUCUGACUAAUAAAUCCCUGUUUGUGCGUUUGGUGCGCAAUUAA
Long non-coding RNA from Folsomia candida, 1524 nucleotides. RefSeq lists it as uncharacterized. The record is from RefSeq and is a predicted model, not a curated record. NCBI's taxonomy places the organism in Eukaryota, Metazoa, Arthropoda, Collembola, Entomobryomorpha, Isotomidae. The transcript has 3 exons.